UACGAAGGGGGCUAGCGUUGUUCGGAAUCACUGGGCGUAAAGCGCACGCAGGCGGAUCGCUAAGUCGGGGGUGAAAGCCCGGGGCUCAACCUCGGAAUUGCCUUCGAUACUGUCGGUCUCGAGUCCGGGCGAGGUGAGUGGAAUUCCUAGUGUAGAGGUGAAAUUCGUAGAUAUUAGGAAGAACACCAGUGGCGAAGGCGGCUCACUGGCCCGGUACUGACGCUCAGGUGCGAAAGCGUGGGGAGCAAAAAGG
RNAcentral lists this ribosomal RNA (253 nucleotides) under uncultured bacterium. Its description in RNAcentral is "partial 16S ribosomal RNA". It matches the Rfam family "Bacterial small subunit ribosomal RNA", at positions 524 to 776 of the family's 1533-position model. The record is from RNAcentral.